UACGUAGGGGGCAAGCGUUGUCCGGAAUUAUUGGGCGUAAAGAGCGUGUAGGCGGUUCGGUAAGUCUGCCGUGAAAACCUGGGGCUCAGCCCCAGGCGUGCGGUGGAUACUGCCGGGCUAGAGGGUGGUAGAGGCGAGUGGAAUUCCCGGUGUAGCGGUGAAAUGCGCAGAUAUCGGGAGGAACGCCGGUGGCGAAAGCGGCUCGCUGGGCCGUUCCUGACGCUGAGACGCGAAAGCUAGGGGAGCGAACAGG
This 253-nucleotide ribosomal RNA is filed under the name uncultured bacterium. RNAcentral's name for it is "partial 16S ribosomal RNA". It matches the Rfam family "Bacterial small subunit ribosomal RNA", at positions 524 to 776 of the family's 1533-position model. The record is from RNAcentral.